GCGCCGAUGGUGUAAUGGUUAGCAUUAAUGCCUUCCAAGGAUCCCAAGCCAUCGACCUACGGUUCCAACGUCAGCAUUAGAUUCGGGUUCAAUUCCCGAUCGGCGCA
Transfer RNA from Macrophomina phaseolina MS6, 107 nucleotides. It matches the Rfam family "tRNA". From Rfam's summary of the family: Transfer RNA (tRNA) molecules are approximately 80 nucleotides in length. The record is from Rfam. NCBI's taxonomy places the organism in Eukaryota, Fungi, Ascomycota, Dothideomycetes, Botryosphaeriales, Botryosphaeriaceae.